UCGUGAGAUGUUGGGUUAAGUCCCGCAACGAGCGCAACCCUCGUCCUCUGUUGCCAUCAGGUCAAGCUGGGCACUCUGAGGAGACUGCCGGUGAUAAACCGGAGGAAGGUGGGGAUGACGUCAAGUCAGCAUGGCCUUUAUGUCCAGGGCCACACACGUGCUACAAUGGCGGAUACAAAGCGCUGCAAACUCGCGAGAGUGAGCCAAUCGCAUAAAGU
This 218-nucleotide ribosomal RNA is filed under the name uncultured bacterium. RNAcentral describes it as "partial 16S ribosomal RNA". It matches the Rfam family "Bacterial small subunit ribosomal RNA", at positions 1065 to 1282 of the family's 1533-position model. The record is from RNAcentral.